ACAUGCAAGUCGAGCGGAUGAAGAGAGCUUGCUCUCUGAUUCAGCGGCGGACGGGUGAGUAAUGCCUAGGAAUCUGCCUGAUAGUGGGGGACAACGUUUCGAAAGGAACGCUAAUACCGCAUACGUCCUACGGGAGAAAGCAGGGGACCUUCGGGCCUUGCGCUAUCAGAUGAGCCUAGGUCGGAUUAGCUAGUUGGUGAGGUAACGGCUCACCAAGGCGACGAUCCGUAACUGGUCUGAGAGGAUGAUCAGUCACACUGGAACUGAGACACGGUCCAGACUCCUACGGGAGGCAGCAGUGGGGAAUAUUGGACAAUGGGCGAAAGCCUGAUCCAGCCAUGCCGCGUGUGUGAAGAAGGUCUUCGGAUUGUAAAGCACUUUAAGUUGGGAGGAAGGGCAUUAACCUAAUACGUUAGUGUUUUGACGUUACCGACAGAAUAAGCACCGGCUAACUUCGUGCCAGCAGCCGCGGUAAUACGAAGGGUGCAAGCGUUAAUCGGAAUUACUGGGCGUAAAGCGCGCGUAGGUGGUUUGUUAAGUUGAAUGUGAAAGCCCCGGGCUCAACCUGGGAACUGCAUCCAAAACUGGCAAGCUAGAGUAUGGCAGAGGGUGGUGGAAUUUCCUGUGUAGCGGUGAAAUGCGUAGAUAUAGGAAGGAACACCAGUGGCGAAGGCGACCACCUGGGCUAAUACUGACACUGAGGUGCGAAAGCGUGGGGAGCACACAGGAUUAGAUACCCUGGUAGUCCACGCCGUACACGAUGUCGACUAGCCGUUGGGAUCCUUGAGAUCUUAGUGGCGCAGCUAACGCAUUAAGUCGACCGCCUGGGGAGUACGGCCGCAAGGUUAAAACUCAAAUGAAUUGACGGGGGCCCGCACAAGCGGUGGAGCAUGUGGUUUAAUUCGAAGCAACGCGAAGAACCUUACCAGGCCUUGAC
RNAcentral lists this ribosomal RNA (937 nucleotides) under Stutzerimonas stutzeri. RNAcentral describes it as "bacterial SSU rRNA". It matches the Rfam family "Bacterial small subunit ribosomal RNA", at positions 53 to 985 of the family's 1533-position model. The record is from RNAcentral. Lineage: Bacteria; Pseudomonadati; Pseudomonadota; Gammaproteobacteria; Pseudomonadales; Pseudomonadaceae.